Molecule: long non-coding RNA, 235 nt
Filed under: Setaria viridis
Lineage: Eukaryota; Viridiplantae; Streptophyta; Magnoliopsida; Poales; Poaceae
Description: long non-coding RNA (SVIR_LNC003326)
Source: RNAcentral
UUUUUGGACCCGGAACUAAAAGAGCUUUAGUCUCGGGUCAAAUUCCCACCACCGACGGCCACCUCCGAUGGGCUCCUUAGUCCUGGUUGGUAAUAUCAACCGGGACUAAAUAGGCCCCUUUAGUCCCGCAUUGUAACAGCUAGUAAAGCUAGAAGAAUCAAGGGGAAUCUGGUGGGACGUUUAGUCCCGGUUACCAAUCAGGACUAAACGUCCGACCUAUAAAAUCCCCUUCUUC